Molecule: long non-coding RNA, 280 nt
Organism: Mus musculus (house mouse)
Lineage: Eukaryota; Metazoa; Chordata; Mammalia; Rodentia; Muridae
Product: predicted gene, 51914
Exons: 3
Source: RefSeq, a predicted model, not a curated record
GCUUGCCUCUGACUUAUGAGUGCAGAGAUUAAAGGCCUGUGAGACAGUUCAGUGGAUAAAGGGAACUGUGGCCAAUAGACAACCUACAUUUGAGUCCCAAGAACCCAAAUGAUGGGAGGAGAAACCAACUUUACAAGCUGUUCCCUGAUCUCGCCAUGCAAGCUGUAUGCAUCCUCCCUGACAGGGAUCUAAGACCUUCCAUUGACUUCUAUGACACUUGCACACAUACAUGAAUACACAUACUCAAACAUACAUUAAUAAAAAUAAAACAAAUUCCUUU